GGGGGCUCUCAAAGGGGCUGAGGCAGGAGACGCCCAGGUCCCGGAGGGCCAAGGACGGGCUGAAAGUCCAGACUCCAGAAUCAGUGAGGUGGGCUGGUGCCCGACCUGCCCGGACGCUGGAGCCCUGGUGCCCUUGCAGCAAGUGUGUCCCCUGGGAUGCGAUUGUCUGCUCUCUGCCCAGCUGUCCCAGCGGACAUGAGUGGGGGCCAGGGGCAGCCUCAACAUGACCCAGCUCAAGGCGCAGUGUACACAGGCAGCCUUGGAGGAUGCACAUGAGAACCUGCUGGUCCUUUUAGCACCCACACUGGGCACCACAUUCUCCAGGAAGUAUCCCCCGUCCUGUGUUCCUGCUUACAGCUCCAGCUGCUCCGACUGAGCUGCCCUUUGGACGACGCUAAGCUCCCGGGCAGCAGGGUUGGGCCUGCGCACCUCGGGGCUCGCCGAGCCCGACCAGGCAUCUGGCACAGCAACAGACAUCAGCGGAUGUAAACUCUAUGAGGACGUCAGGAAUGCUACUUCCUCCCUCUGCUUGCCCAGCGUUCCACACGACCCCUGGCAGCGAAGCGCACAAAGGAGUGGCCGUGGUGAAUGAAUGAACCCGUCCGUGCCAGCGCCGCCUUAGUACCAGCACCUGACACAGCAGGUGCGAGUGAGCCCUUGUGGAGACGUGAAGACGUGAGCGCAUGCGCGGCCGCCCGGGAUCCGCCUCCUGCAUCCCUGCCGGGAGCUGGGUCCCGAUGUAGUGCGAGGAAUAGUUGUAGGUGACUCUAGGUUCGGAGUGAAGGCCCCUCUCCAGGAGUUGGGCCGGGCUGGGCUGGAGUCCCUCCCUCCCCUCCUCCCGCCCCGCCCCCACAUGCACACACCAAAACAUUAAAAAAAACAUCUCAAAAACUGCAAAAAACACCAUGGCCCUCCCCCUCCCCCUGAAUCCCACCAAAAAAAUAAAACACGUCGCUCGCCAGGGCCCCUCCCCUUCUUCCUCCUCUCCCCGGGGUCCCUGCUUCGGAGGGGGAAGGAAGGGACGGCCCCGCGCCCCGGGCCGGGGGCGCGCGAGGGGCGAAG
Molecule: long non-coding RNA, 1062 nt
Filed under: Heterocephalus glaber (naked mole-rat)
Lineage: Eukaryota; Metazoa; Chordata; Mammalia; Rodentia; Bathyergidae
Description: lncRNA (ENSHGLG00000041859.1)
Source: RNAcentral